CCUUUUCUUUCCUUCCUGACCAGAGAAGCUCUGCAGCAUCGCUCCGUUGGGCUUAGAAUAUUUUCCUGAUAACGGCUGGACUUCUACUGGCUGUUCUGGCGGCAGCUCUCAGUGUUCAGACGACGAUGAUGCUUCUUCUUCUUCUUCCUGUUCUCUGAGCCGGAGCUUCACUUUAAACCCACAGGAAAACUUCUUCUGGAUGUGUGAGGAUCAUGCUGCUGCUGCUGCUGUUGGUCUGUCUGCAGACGUCUGUCCAGGAGCAGACUCCGCCCCCUGGUCGCUGUGACUUCCUUCAGAGGGAGGAAGUUCAUUCCAGCUGCACUUCCUGUGCCGCCGACGGCCGCUGUCCCCGAGGGUUCAGCAGCGUAGGAACCAUGAACUGCAGUUACCUGGUCCAGGUGGGCAGCAGGGAUCUCCAGCUUCAUGGAUGUCAGCUCGUCUGUGUGAGGAACUUCAUGUCUCCUCAUUGCUGCCCUCAACACUGGGGGGCGCUGUGCCUCCCUUGUCCCAGCUGGUCGGGAAAAACCUGCAACUUCCACGGAGUCUGUUCUGACGGAGACGUCGGCAAUGGAAGCUGCAUCUGUGAUGACGGGUUCUCUGGGUUCUCGUGUCAGAACUGUAAGAAUCCAAAGGCCUACGGAGAGAAGUGUGAUAAAGUGUGUGAUUGUGAACAUGGAGUGUGUAAUGCAGGUCCAGAGGGUGAUGGUCAGUGUCUGUGUCAGUCUCCGUACACCGGGAGGCGCUGUGACCACGUGAGCAGCGGCUGCAGGGGCUGUCCUCUCUACUCGUUCUGUAAAGGCGACGGAGACGCUGCUUCCUGUGAAUGUCUGCCCGGAUAUCGGAGAACCAACGUGAACAAAUGCAGCAGUGUGUGUUCUCAGAGGGACUGCGACGUCAACGCUCAGUGUUCCUCUCAGGGAUCCCGGAUCAGCUGCGUUUGUAAACCCGACUACGAGGGCGACGGCCGGGUCUGCUUUCCCAGGAACCCCUGCAGUGACAACAACGGCGGCUGUCCGUCCAACUCCACCGUCUGCGUCUUCAGGGGACCCAACAAGUCCAGCUGCGAGUGCAUGGCCGGCAUGUCUCCAAUAGGAGGCAGUGCUGAGUCGGGCUGCCGGCUGAUCUCCGCCUGCUCAGCUGAUACCUGUGACUCCAGCGCCACCUGCAAGACCGAACUGGACGGACGACCGAGGUGUGUGUGUGAGGCGAAUGAGAUUGGUGAUGGACGGCGUUGUUAUGGCAACCUGAUGGAGCGUCUGAUGGAGUUGGACCGAAGCGGCAGCCAGAGGGAGAACCUGACCGGAGCAGUGGCACUGUUCGAAAAAGGAUGUUCACUGCUGCUGAGCCACAACGGACCGUUUACCGCCUUCAUCCCGCAGCUGAAGACGCCGCUGACGGGCAUUAACGAGGAGCUAAUGUGUAAAAACCACCUGAUCCUGGGUCAGUUCCUCUACGCCGACCUGCAGGGGCGAGACUUCAACAUGUAUGGAGGGGCCAAGCUGAGGACCAAAGACCACCAGAGGUUCAUCCUGAUGGAGGAACCCAGCAGGUUCUACUCUGUCAUCCUGCGGGACCUGCCGGCAGCCAAUGGCAUCAUUCACAUCAUAGACCGGCCAAUCAGCAGCUCGCAGUCGGACAGGGCGGCUCGAGAUGAACAGUUUGCUGAUUUGACGGUCGGAGAGAUUCUGUCUAAAGAUGGAAAAUUCAACCGUUUCCUUUCUCUGGUGGACAACUGUGGGUCGCCUCCUCCUCUGAGGGGUCCGGGUCCAAUCACGGUCUUUGUCCCAACCAACCAGGCGAUAGACCGAGCCCGAGACGGCAGCAUCCUGUACAUGCUGCAUGACGCCAAACACAAACUCCAGGAGCUGCUCAGACAUCAUGUUUUCCCUCAGGCUGUGCUGACGGUGGAUGAUCUCAGCGCUCUGCCUCGCAUCCAGACAAUGGCUAAUCAGAUGAUCAGCAUCAGCGUGUCGAAUGAUGGUCAGAUCUUAUUGGGCGAUAAACGGAUCCAGCUGGCGAGCACCAACAUCAUGGCAUCCAAUGGGAUCAUCCACAUGAUUGACGGGCUGCUGGUCCCGCCCUCCAUCCUGCCCAUCCUCCCCCACCACUGUGAUGUCACCGAGAGCAAGAUCACCGUGGGUCCUUGUGUCCACUGCAGUUACCUCUAUGAGACUCAAUGUCCCGACGGCACUGUUGAAAUGGACAGCCAUCAAAUCGGCUGUGAAUACGUCACGUCUCCUCUUCGCUCCUCACUCAGUAAAGGCUGCGCUAAGUUCUGCAAUGCAACCAAACAGGUGGUGGAGUGCUGCAGAGGAUUCUACGGUCCCGACUGUAAACCCUGCAUCGGAGGCUUUCAGCAUCCCUGCUACGACAAAGGAACCUGCUUUGACGGUAUCCAUGGUAACGGGUCGUGCAGCUGCCAGCCGGGUCUCAGCGGCAUCGCCUGCCACAUCUGCUCCGAUCCCAACAAACACGGAGAACGCUGCGACGAAGGUACCGGCAGAACCUAAACCUGACAGAACAGAGCCUGGUGACACACUGUCCGAUCCAGAAGAACUUCAGGUUCUGGUUCCUUUCAAGUGUCGUUGUGUUCACGGAGUGUGUGACAACCGUCCCGGCAGCGGAGGAAUAUGUCGCAGAGGAUCCUGUCUAGACGGAUUUUCCGGAGAUUUCUGCGACAAAACAGCGACACCAUGCAACUCUGACG
This is an RNA transcript of Acanthochromis polyacanthus (spiny chromis), 2707 nucleotides long. It is a transcript of the gene named stabilin-1-like, with no coding region annotated. The record is from RefSeq and is a predicted model, not a curated record. NCBI's taxonomy places the organism in Eukaryota, Metazoa, Chordata, Actinopteri, Pomacentridae. The transcript has 23 exons.